RNAcentral lists this ribosomal RNA (500 nucleotides) under uncultured bacterium. RNAcentral describes it as "partial 16S ribosomal RNA". It matches the Rfam family "Bacterial small subunit ribosomal RNA", at positions 30 to 523 of the family's 1533-position model. The record is from RNAcentral.
AUUGAACGCUGGCGGCGUGCCUUACACAUGCAAGUCGAACGGUAACGGGUCCUUCGGGAUGCCGACGAGUGGCGAACGGGUGAGUAAUAUAUCGGAACGUGCCCAGUAGUGGGGGAUAACUGCUCGAAAGAGCAGCUAAUACCGCAUACGACCUGAGGGUGAAAGGGGGGGAUCGCAAGACCUCUCGCUAUUGGAGCGGCCGAUAUCAGAUUAGCUAGUUGGUGGGGUAAAGGCCUACCAAGGCAACGAUCUGUAGUUGGUCUGAGAGGACGACCAGCCACACUGGGACUGAGACACGGCCCAGACUCCUACGGGAGGCAGCAGUGGGGAAUUUUGGACAAUGGGCGCAAGCCUGAUCCAGCAAUGCCGCGUGCAGGAAGAAGGCCUUCGGGUUGUAAACUGCUUUUGUCAGGGAAGAAAUCUUCUGGGCUAAUACCCCGGGAGGAUGACGGUACCUGAAGAAUAAGCACCGGCUAACUACGUGCCAGCAGCCGCCGCAG